This is a long non-coding RNA of Lingula anatina, 1404 nucleotides long. NCBI's taxonomy places the organism in Eukaryota, Metazoa, Brachiopoda, Lingulata, Lingulida, Lingulidae. The record is from RefSeq and is a predicted model, not a curated record.
UCUUGGGAUUGAAGCGACAGUUGGGCGGGGUUAUUGAGAGAGAGAGAGGGAGGAGAGAGAGAGGAAGGAGCUGCAGAUACAAGAGCUAGAGGAUAGAUAAAGGGAGUGUUAUAAGUGUUAUUCAGUAGAUCUGGAUUCCUGGAAAUAUCUGAGCUCAGGCACACAGUUUGACAGAGUGGUCAAAUCUGAAAAUGCAGUGAUUCUCAAUGAGAUACCAGAGAAAACCCUGACUGAGCCAACACUAAUCAAACUUGGAGGGAGAAUCUCAACAGGAGAUUGGAAUCAGCAAUCUAUACAGAAAAGAUGAGGACAUUGAACCAUACUGGGACAUGAGAGAAGAAUUUAGUAUUAUUGAAGCACACAAACCAUUAGUACCCAUGUUUAACAAAGCACAAGCAAAAUUACCACUGAGAAUAAAGAAAUGGGUGAUGGACUUACAAGGUGUUGACUAUGAAGUGGUAUAUGAGCCAGGAAAGAAUGAUGCAGACCCAGAUUAUCUCUCCAGAUGCCCACUGCCACAAAUACAGAGAAGAUGAUCAGAUAAAUGGUCAAAUCUGAAAAUGCAGAAAACGCUCACUGACCCAACACUAAUCAAACUUGGAGGGAGAAUACACUCAUUAUACGUGACUAUGUUUUAGUUUAAAAACAGAACAAAAGAAACAAACUCUCAACACCAUAUGAACUGAUUUUCUAUAUCGUCAUGGAAAUACAUGGUUCUCAAGUUACUGCCAGAAGAGUUACAGACAGAAGAACAAUCUGCAGAGACGCAAGUCAAUUCAAACUGUGUUACAAUGUCGUGAACACAACAGAUGAUGUAAUGAAAAUUCCAGCAGACUCGUAUUUGAAAGAAAACACAAAUGAGAUGAGAAGACAAGAUGAUGCAUGUGAAUUGCAACUUAGUGAUAUAUUACAGUGAAAAGUGACAUUGCAGCAACAGACAGACAGAAUAUUCCAAACUUAAAUGAUAUUGCAUUAAAUACAGAGAAUUCAGUUGAUGAGAAGAUGACACAGCAAGAGAAAAACAGUGAUCAUAUUGAAGAACCAAUUUACACCAGACCAAAGAGAACAAUCAGACAACCUGGUUACUUAAAAGAUUAUGUAUUAAAGAGACAGUUCAAUCAGUUAUGUGUAAUCAGGAUGAAGACGGAUUGCUGUCCUGAAAAAAACUCCAGUCUCCAUACAGCAUGGUGUCUUCUAGGUGAACUGACUUUACCUGGCUGGACAUGGGGACAUGUAUUGUUAAUAUGAAAUAGACAGGAACUGGCAGUUGCAGGAAUAUCCCUUCAUCUCACACAGUUGAACAAGACACAGCAAGUUUCAGGAUGAAUGGGUUGUGAAGAGCCAGAGACAGGACAGCCAUGGUAAACAGGGAACUGGACUUCUUGCAGGUUGUACACAAAAUGA